This 497-nucleotide ribosomal RNA is filed under the name uncultured bacterium. RNAcentral describes it as "partial 16S ribosomal RNA". It matches the Rfam family "Bacterial small subunit ribosomal RNA", at positions 28 to 507 of the family's 1533-position model. The record is from RNAcentral.
GAUGAACGCUGGCGGCGUGCCUAAUACAUGCAAGUCGAGCGAACGGACGAGAAGCUUGCUUCUCUGAUGUUAGCGGCGGACGGGUGAGUAACACGUGGAUAACCUACCUAUAAGACUGGGAUAACUUCGGGAAACCGGAGCUAAUACCGGAUAAUAUUUUGAGCCGCAUGGUUCAAAAGUGAAAGACGGUCUUGCUGUCACUUAUAGAUGGAUCCGCGCUGCAUUAGCUAGUUGGUAAGGUAACGGCUUACCAAGGCAACGAUGCAUAGCCGACCUGAGAGGGUGAUCGGCCACACUGGAACUGAGACACGGUCCAGACUCCUACGGGAGGCAGCAGUAGGGAAUCGUACGCAAUGGGCGAAAGCCUGACGGAGCAACGCCGCGUGAGUGAUGAAGGUCUUCGGAUCGUAAAACUCUGUUAUUAGGGAAGAACAUAUGUGUAAGUAACUGUGCACAUAUUGACGGUAUCUAAUCAGAAAGCCACGGCUAACUACGUG